This 207-nucleotide ribosomal RNA is filed under the name uncultured bacterium. RNAcentral describes it as "partial 16S ribosomal RNA". It matches the Rfam family "Bacterial small subunit ribosomal RNA", at positions 1295 to 1500 of the family's 1533-position model. The record is from RNAcentral.
GGAUUGUAGUCUGCAACCCGACUACAUGAAGCUGGAAUCGCUAGUAAUCGCGGAUCAGAAUGCCGCGGUGAAUACGUUCCCGGGUCUUGUACACACCGCCCGUCACACCAUGGGAGUCGGAAAUGCCCGAAGCCGGUGACUCAACCUUUAAGGAGAGAGCCGUCGAAGGCAGGUCUGAUAACUGGGGUGAAGUCGUAACAAGGUACC